AGCAGGGGAUGGGGGCUGCCCCUCCUGGGGAGAUGGGGCAAGGCUGGGAGCAAAGCCAAGUCCAGGGAGCAGGGGCGCCUCCGGCAGGGCAAAGUGGGGAGUCCCAGGCC
Long non-coding RNA from Gopherus evgoodei (Goodes thornscrub tortoise), 110 nucleotides. RefSeq lists it as uncharacterized. NCBI's taxonomy places the organism in Eukaryota, Metazoa, Chordata, Testudines, Testudinidae. The record is from RefSeq and is a predicted model, not a curated record. The transcript is spliced from 3 exons.